This 728-nucleotide long non-coding RNA is filed under the name Equus caballus (horse). RNAcentral describes it as "lncRNA (ENSECAG00000049153.1)". The record is from RNAcentral. Lineage: Eukaryota; Metazoa; Chordata; Mammalia; Perissodactyla; Equidae.
GGAGAGCUCCUCCACGGGGAGCUAAAACCUAACAUCAAUUGACACAGAAAGAUGAUUUUCGGGAUCGCCUCACCCUCCGGCUUGUUUAGAGGUUGUUGCCGUCCUCAGUGAGUGUGAGAGUGGCUUAUAAAUAGGAUCAGCUUUUGAAAAUCUUGCCGUUUAUGAUUGCCUUGUGAGGCGGCCUAGAAUGGUGGUUACAAGCUCAGAUCCUAGAAUCAGACAACCGUGUUCAGUAUGAUUUCAUCACUACUGGCUGCAAGAAAUUGGAUUAAGUCCUUAAUCUCUAUAGGGAUUCAUUUUCCUUCUUUACAAAAUUGUAACAAUAUUAUUUUCUAUCUCACAAAAUUGUGGUGAAGAUUAAAAGACAUAAACCAUGCAAAAUAUAUCCCUUUCCUCAGGGACUGACAUCUUAUCCAUCCACUCAACCAUAAAUCUGAGAGUCAUUCCAGAUGCUUUCCCUUCUCUACUCCACUCCCUAACAUUGCAAGUCCUGUCAAUUCACAGUUCUGAAACUUCUAUCAUCCAAAGUCAUCUCCCUAUCUCAUCACCUGCCUACACUGCUUUCAUCAAUAAUUUCCUAAUUUGCCUCAUUCCAUUUUAUCCCUCCAACUCAUUCUCCUGGGUAGUGGUAUUUCCAAAAUACGAAACUGAAGGUGUCACUAACCCAGUGUGAAACCAUGGGUCGGGGGCUCCCUAUUAAGGCCCCCAAAGCUCUCUGUAAUCUGGCC